GGAGCAUGUAGUUUGGGUUUGAGAGCCUAACCAGUGCUACCUCCCCCUGACACCUGCACUUUGAUUGAAACCUAUACAAUUUUAGGUCUUCUCCAUUGGAUUGUAUCUUGUAACACAAGCCUUUUGGAAAAUGGAUUAAGCAGACCAGAAAGAACUCUCCCACAGAGACAGACAAAUCAAAAAGGAAGAGAGGAGGAGGCCAAGGCAAAGAUACCCAGGUUAUUCAUUGAUCUCUAAUUAAUUAAGUAUCCAAUGGGUAAUCAAUGAAUAAGAAAUGAGGAAACAGACCAAGAAUGAUUAAGAAAUCUCUUCACAUGCAGCCUUAAAGGGUAGGGGAUUGAAUGGCCCACAACCUUCCCUAGCUUUUUGCUCUCUUAAUCAUCACCAUACCUGGGGUAUGGUUCUCCCAUCUGAGAUAGGCAAUCAGUGGCCUAUGGAGAGUCCCUCCUUCAUGAGAGCAUUUUCCUAGUACCAUUUCUCAUUGGAGGUGACCUACUAGUACUACUUGCAGUCAAUGCUGAUUUUUUUUCUUUUUUGCUUUCAGAAAUGGUUAACAACCAUACAUUAAUUUUAGAAAGACUGAAACCUAGAUGAAUAUGUCUGGAGAAGAACAAACUCUGGGGAAUUAUAUUAGUCUAUUUGGCAAUGAACCUCAAGUGGACCUUUCCUGCUAUUGCCAACCAUAAUACAUUUCCCUAGUCAAUUUACUCUUUUGCUCUCCUAGACGACUAUUUCGCAUCAUCUUCUCUUUCUUCAAACUCCAACAUUUCCUAUCCCAGACUCACUCUCAGAUGAUUUUGUGACUUGGUAUUUCAUUGAGAAAAAUAGAAGCACUUAGAACAGGUUUUCAGAAUCUCCUAUUAUAUCAUGUACUCACCUACUGACCCAUUAUAUUCUACCUUCUUUUUGUUACUGUGGAUACACUGUCCCUGCUUCUAGCAGAGGUCCUCUCCUUGUACACUAGAGCCUCUCCCUUAUUUGACAUUACUCCAAAAAUUCUUCACUCUUUCCCAUGUUAUUUUUUCUUCCUUUACCAGAGCUUUCCCAUACUCAGACAUUUCUUCCAUCCUAAACACAUAACAAAGCAAAACCCCUGUCUCUGUGUACUAAUUCCCUCUAUGUACUUCCCUGUCUCUCUUCUGCUUAUAGCUAUACUCCUUGGUAGUGUUAUCUAUAUUCCCUGUUUUCAUUUCUCUCUUCCCAUUCUUUCAUGAACCCAUUCCAAUGACUCUUGCUCUCUGUACCUCCAUUGAGACUGCAUUUAUCACAAGUAUUAAUGACCCCCUUGAUGCAAGUAAUUGGAUUUUCUGUUCUCAUCCUUUUAACAGCAUUUGAACUUGGCUCUCAGGAUUCCAUGUUCUACUUCUCUGAUUGUUCUUUCUCAAAUGUUUUUGCUUAUUUCCCCCCUCAUCUUCCUGGGUCCUAAAUGUUGGAGCUUCACAGGGCUCAAUCCAUGCUAUAACUCAUGCUCAUGACUCCUAUUUUUAUUUCUGUGGCUCAGACUUCUUAUUGAAAAGGUCUCUUAACUGGUCUUUGUGAUUUGUCUCUUGUUUCUCAUUUCAUCACCAGAUUAUUUUCUGCAUGGAAGCCAUGUGAAAACUUAAGUGAGCCUGGAUAUGGUGGCAUGUGCCUGUAAUCCCAGUUACUCGGAAGGCUGGGGCUAGAGGAUCACAAGUUUGAGGCCAGCCAUGACAACUUGAUGAGAUCCUCACUCAAAAUAAAAAUAUAAAAAGGGCUGGGGAUAUAGCUCAGUGGUAGAGCACCUCUGGGUUCCACCCAGUACAAAACAAACAAAGAAACAAACAAACUUAAGAGAUGUAAGUCAUUCUUGCUCAAACAUUCCCAUGGUUUUCCAUUUCUCUCAGAAUAAUACACAAAGCCCUCUAUCCAAUUCAUGACCUAUAUGACCUGGUUCCCUGCUACUUCUUUGCUUUCAUCACUAUUGUUCCUUCCCUUGCUCACUCCUCUCCAGUCACAUAGGACACUUUGCUGGCACCCUAACCUUUACCUUAACUUCUUUGCAUUUAUUAUUCCCUCUGCUCAGGCCACUCUUCUCCCAGAUGAGCAAGGAAGGCCCAUCCUUGACCAUCCAAUUUAAAAAGCCACCAUUUCUCUUUACAUUCCUUAUUUCUACUCAAUACAUAACAUGAUCUAACUCAUUAUACAUUUACUCAUUUUUUCUUACUAAUAUUUUCUGCCUACUCCUCCUAAAACUGAAGCUGCUUGAGGUAUGAAAAGAGGGAUUUUUGUCUGAUCCUCAUUGUGCUAUCUUCAGUACAUAGCAGAUACUUAAUGUAUCUGUGUUUUAUAAAUGAACUAAAGGCUUAAAACCUCAAGACUUUAAAACCUUAGAAUCUGUUCUGCUUAUUCUCAAAACUUAUGUCCAGUUAGGUUAAGCAAUGUAGUUCACUAAAGAUUCUGCAAUGAGAUUAAACAUCAAAGUGAGGAGACAACAGCUUAGAGAUAUACUGAAUUGGAAUGAAAAUCUUCCAUUUGGAAGAUUCCAGGAAAAAUUAAAAGCACAAGGAAAAGUCUACAGAAAUUAGAAUUAUACAUCAAAUUCUCUUGUUUCUUUAAUGUUUUCAACAACCAAAACAUUAGAGUCAUAUGACCUAUGAACUUAAACUUGACUAGGAAUUCCACUCCUGAUCAAGAUGGAGUAAAGGGAUUCAGAUUUAUCCUCCUGCCUGAAAAAAAAAAAAACUGAAAAACAAACAAAAUGUAUGAGUCAGUGGUUUUCAUGACACUGGAAAUCAGGCAUCAAAUGCAAGUUUUCCUAAGAGGUGGCAAAUAAGUGAGGUUGGUAUAUGAGUUCCCUGACUCACUGCCUUGAGACAGUUCCCAGAUGGUGCCAAGAGAGAGAGCACAGCCAGAUCCUAGCCAACUCCUAAGUUGAGGAAAUGUUUAGAGUCUUGGGAGACAAACAUGGCAGGGCAGUGGAGAGGAGAGAAUGCCCUAAAGAUCUGCAAAGGGGACAACUUGAAUAUUCAGUAGAUCAGCACAUACACAUGAGGAAAAUAAUGAAGGCCAGGAAAAGAACCACUCAAAAAGAUUAGGAGUCACAGUGCUUGCUGUUCAUACAGGGCUAUAAUGAUGCCUAUUCCCAACCAGCCAGAUUAGAAAGGCUCACAAUUGACAGGGGAUGGGGUAAAGUACUUAGAAGGGUCUUGCCUCAGUAAUGGGGAAGAAUUAGCCCUAGACUAAACACACUCUGGACCUGUCCAACAAAUCAUAAAAGUAAGACCCAAAGGGAUGAAACUGUUUCCAAAUAACAGUGUCCUAGAAGAAAGUUCAAGAAUAUUUAUAGGAAUACAAAAAUAUACAGUACCCAACAAGGUAAUAUUCACAAUGUCUGGCGUCUAAUCAAAAAUUACCAGGUGUGCAAAGCAGCAGGAAAAUACAACCCAUAAUGAGGAAAAAAGAAAAUCCAUCAAUCAAAACCAACCCAGAACUGACACUACAAGUAAUGUUCAAAGAUUUCCUUCAGGCAGAAGGCAAAAUGAUACCAGAUGGAAAUAUGGGUCUACAUAUACAAGUGAAGAGCACCAGAAAGGUAACUAAAUGGGGAAAUAUAUGAGACAUUUUUCUUUCUAAUUAUUUAAAACUCUAAAAGAUAAUUGAAGGUUUAAAUGAAAUAACAAUGUACAAUGGGAUAUGUAACAUAUGUAGAAAUAAAAGGUAUGAUAAAAAACACAAAGGCCAGGAAGGGAUAAAUGAAAACUCAAUUGG
RNAcentral lists this long non-coding RNA (3729 nucleotides) under Marmota monax (woodchuck). The record is from RNAcentral. Lineage: Eukaryota; Metazoa; Chordata; Mammalia; Rodentia; Sciuridae.